UCCCUGGUGGCUCAGAUGGUAAAGCAUCUGCCUACAAUGCAGGAGACCCAGGUUCGAUUCCUGGGUGGGGAA
Molecule: transfer RNA, 72 nt
Filed under: Ovis aries (sheep)
Lineage: Eukaryota; Metazoa; Chordata; Mammalia; Artiodactyla; Bovidae
Rfam family: tRNA
About the family: Transfer RNA (tRNA) molecules are approximately 80 nucleotides in length.
Source: Rfam by way of RNAcentral